AACAUAUUCCGUUACAUGCGUUUGUUUUUCUUUUUUUUUUUUUUUUUUUUUUUAUGUGUGUUUAUCCGUAUUUUAGUCAAAAUGUACGCGACCCAUACUUUCCAACCACGUAAACAAUUACACUUUGAGUGAUAUGUUUUGACGCUAUUUUAAAUUAGACCCAACCACAAUGUGAAGGUAGCGAGAUGGAUCGCAAGUACGCCUGGGCCAUACGAUUAUGCGAGGCUUCCCGAUUAUGCCGUGAUGACUUUCAUUCAUCGUAAUAAGGACGACUUCCUUGGCCGGGUGGUUCAUUUAAAAACUUCGCACGCGAUUGUUACAAUCAAGAUAUCGCGAUACGUUUCCUGAAACGUUUAGUGCAGGGAUGGGGAAUCUGCGGCUCUCUCGUAUAUUACGCGAAUCAUUCAUCUUCUUCGUUAAUACGCUUUUUAAAUUUAUUUUUAAUGUUAAGUAUAUUUUAUAGUGGAAGAUAGCGAGUAAAUUUUUACAUACACAGUGGUAACUGAAACGAGUGAGUGCCAAAGAUAUUCUUUCCAUUUGGUUUUACAUAUUACAACACGAACAAGAUCCAAUACAAAGUCCAUUUUUUUGAAUUGGAAAGGUGUCUACACUCGCAUAUAAACGUGAUAGGUUAAGCAGUUUUCAAGUCACGACGAAGCAAAUACUCGGGCAAACAAAAAUUCCGAAAGCACUAUUUCGGGCGUUGUUAUCAUUGAACAAGUCUAUGCAAUGUAUGAAUUAGCGAAGUGACGUGGUUCCCCACUUCUGUCUUUUUUAGUGUAAAUACGAUACAAUUCUUAAUUUACAUAAUUUGCAUGCAAAUAAGUAUUACGAUUAAAGUUACUGCUAGCCAACGUAAGUGUGUACAUUUUUAUUCGAAAUACAAAUACGUACGAUAGUAGAUAACACAAUUUUGUCUUUUUGAAUCGGAUUCGCUUUGUACUCGAUUAAACAGGAAGAGAACGACCCGUCGAACAAUCAGUUAGCGAUGCAUAAAACCGUGUAUAUGCAAGUCUUUUGUUGUGUUUGCAUACGUAAUAAUCACGUUCGCGAGAACCACGGAAACGUACGGGUUGACGUUGAAAGUAUUUGCAUAUUUUUACGUGCACGCAUUAUGCGACGGACGCGUGAUGCUCACGUGUCUGGUGUUAACAUGUGGCAAGAAAAAGAAAAAAAAUAGACAACGAUAACUUCGAAUAAUUCGUUUCAUUUUUCGACGUUACGAUAACUGGUAGAGAUAUGUUCAGUCAUAAUUGAGGAAAAAGAAAACAAAUUAUACUAUUUAUUGUUCCGUCGGACAUGCGUUUUUAUUUUGGUAUGGUUGUUCUUGUUUCCUUAUUUAUUUAACGGGAACGUGAACGUGUGGAGUAGACGUCCUUAUCAACUAAUCACAAGUAUGAGUGUACGUUAAAUGAUACUUCAAUGUAAGUCAGACAAAACUGCUAGUUCGUGUUGUCAUCAUUUAUUUUCCAGUUUUCUUUCCAGCAGUGGGGUGAACACUGUGCUGCGUCGAAUGACGUUUCGAUGAGAGAAUUUUGGUCGUUUAAAUAACGAAUAAAUCGCGUAUCGAUUAAAUUCUAGUCAUCGCAAAUCGUGGAACGCGUUACGCGUGACGAAUUGAACAGAAAUGUGUUCCAUGGAAGAAGACAGGGAAAACGCGAUUUCGAAGAAGACGAACUUCUCUUACGGCAAAGAAUAUUGUACGCGAUCUGAAACAUGGUAUAAAUAUAACUGCCGUCCCAAUCUAUUUUAAAACGCGAAAGGAUGCGCGUCUCGUCUUUGAUAUUUCUUUUUCUUUUUUUAUUAAAUUUUGUAUGUCGUUGCGUAGUUUGUCGAAGUGCUAGGUUUCAGGUCGUGGCACAAAAUCGGAUGCGCCAUAGUCUGUGCCCUGAUUAAAAUAUGAUUAAGGUCCAUAGACUAUGGUACACCUGUACAGUACUUUGUAAAUUAUUUAAAUCAAUUAUUUGAGAGUACAACAAAUAUCGAGUUUACAAGUUAUACCACACAAAGUAACCAAAGAACAAAAUUAAUUUAUGCGAAUGACUAAAUAAGACUUCGCUUGUGAUGAUUUAUCUGUGAUAGUUUACAAUGUGUGAAAUCCAGUAUUAUUAAAAGUAUUAUAAUAUUUAAAGAAACAGUCAACGACAAUGUCUUGUAUGUUAUGGAUUAAUAACCACAGACUCUAUUAACGAAAUUGUAUAUACGGAGUACCUGUAAUCCACGGUAUUGACUUUUAUACUUUUUAUAAUUUAUAAACUCUAAGAAAUGCAUUUUUAUAUGUUCUGAUUAUGUAAUUAACUCCGUAUGCAAGGAAUAUAAAGAAUAAAGCGUUCCUGUAGACGCUUGUAUUUAUUAUCUUCUGAA
Molecule: long non-coding RNA, 2364 nt
Organism: Hylaeus volcanicus
Lineage: Eukaryota; Metazoa; Arthropoda; Insecta; Hymenoptera; Colletidae
Exons: 2
Source: RefSeq, a predicted model, not a curated record